AUGUCAAGGCCGGGAGUCGCCGCCAUUUCUCCUUCCUUGGUUUCCAUCUGCUGUGCUCCGAUGAGCACCCCCUCGUCGUUCCGCGUGGUCUGCAUCUGCUCGAACCCGCGAAGGGUCCGUGCCGCCGUCUUCUCGUCGGAGACGUGGGAUUGGGUCGUCCACCCGUGGGUGCACGUCGGCGGUAACCGCAGCCUGAAGUUCAAUGCUGGUACGCUGGCGAAUGGUUCCAUUUACUGGCCUGUGGACGGUGAACCCCUCACGAUUAGGAUAAACACGGCCACCAUGGAUGUCUCCUCUGUGGAUCUACCCUCUGAAGUGAAGGUGCACGGAUUCAAUUUCAGCGCCGGGGACACCAAGGAUGGCCAACUAUGCAUCGUCUAUGAAUCGGAUUUCUUCCUUCAUGUUUGGAUCCGUGGCGUGGACGGUGAUGGAAUCGAGAUUUGGGUCCCGGACACUGUAAUCGAUUUGAGUGCAGAAAUUGAUCGGGUCACUCAUGGGUUCGCUCUCGACUUGCACGGCGACCUCAAGGUUAUGGAAGUUAGGUCUGGAUACAUCUACUUGUCCACGACAUGCUUGACCCCUGCUGGCACACUCCACUGCUGGUUCUUCUCCCUUUCAUUGGAGACCUUGGUGCUUGAGUUACUGGUCUCGGGGAAAUUUGACGGUUGUGCCCAUCUGUAUAAUAUGGCCUGGCCUCCUUCUUUGGUUGGUGAUGAUGGAAGCACUGGACAUGAAGUUGAAGGUUCUCAUUGA
Molecule: ribosomal RNA, 753 nt
Filed under: Triticum aestivum (bread wheat)
Lineage: Eukaryota; Viridiplantae; Streptophyta; Magnoliopsida; Poales; Poaceae
Description: partial small subunit ribosomal RNA
Source: RNAcentral